RNAcentral lists this ribosomal RNA (314 nucleotides) under uncultured bacterium. Its description in RNAcentral is "bacterial SSU rRNA". It matches the Rfam family "Bacterial small subunit ribosomal RNA", at positions 32 to 327 of the family's 1533-position model. The record is from RNAcentral.
AAUCAACGCUGGCGGCGUGCCUCAGACAUGCAAGUCGAACGAGAAGUCCCCUUCGGGGGAGUGACAGUGGCGCACGGGUGAGUAACACGUGGGUAAGUUUACCUUUGGGUGGGAACAACAGCCGGAACGGACUGCUAAUACCGCAUAAUGCAGCGGCUCGACAUCGAGACAGUUGUUAAAGCGGGGGAUCGCAAGACCUCGCGCCUGAAGAGAAGCCCGCGGCAGANAGCUAGUUGGUAGGGUAAUGGCCUACCAAGGCGACCGAUCUGUAACCGGCCGUGAGAGGGCGGUCGGUCACACUGACACUGACAUAC